Molecule: transfer RNA, 87 nt
Filed under: Lachnospiraceae bacterium
Lineage: Bacteria; Bacillati; Bacillota; Clostridia; Lachnospirales; Lachnospiraceae
Description: tRNA-Leu
Rfam family: tRNA
About the family: Transfer RNA (tRNA) molecules are approximately 80 nucleotides in length. Their secondary structure includes four short double-helical elements and three loops (D, anti-codon, and T loops).
Source: RNAcentral
GCGGUCGUAACCGAAUUGGCAUAGGUGCUAGCUUGAGGUGCUAGUGGUAGUAAUACCGUAUGGGUUCAAGUCCCAUCGUCCGCACCA